Trifolium pratense (red clover) is the source of this 229-nucleotide long non-coding RNA. RefSeq lists it as uncharacterized. Lineage: Eukaryota; Viridiplantae; Streptophyta; Magnoliopsida; Fabales; Fabaceae. The transcript has 2 exons. The record is from RefSeq and is a predicted model, not a curated record.
AAAAAAACUUAAGAGAAAAGAUGUUGGUGCUAUACCCACGGCUUAUUUGGUUGGAAUAGGAGCUUUUGGAACCAAUUAAUUGGCUAUACCCACAGCCAAGUUUCCAUUGCUAGGCUUUAGUGACACAUAUAUUCUAGAGAUAGACUUAUGUUAUAUGAUAAUAGUCUAGUAUACUUAUGUCUCUAAUUUUUUCGUGUGAUGAAAUGUUACAAUUUUACUUUGGCUUUUA